CUCUGCAAUGACUAUACACACUCUGCAGUCAUUAUACACACUGCAUCUAAUACACACAAACACUACAUCCACUACACAAACACACACUCUGCAUUCACUAUACACUCACUACAUCCACUACACAAACACACACUCUGCAUUAACUAUACACUCACUAAAUUCACUAUAAAAACACACUCUGCAUUUACUAUAAACACACCUAUAUUCACUACACAAACACACACUCUACAUUUAAUUCACACAAAAAUUACAUACAUUACACAAACAUACCAUAUGCAUCCUCAAUACACACUGCAUCUAUGACUCACAUACCACAUCAACUUUAAACAUGCACUCUGCACCCACUACACAAAUUCUACAUCCACUAUACACACACCACAUUCAGUACACACACACACACACACACACACACACACACAACUUCAUCCUUGUGUGUAGACUCAGGAGAGGCCCCUCUAGGCAGACUCGGGGGCCCAGCUGUGUCAGGAGCUCCAACAUUUCUGAUGGCAGCCCUGCAAAUCAGUAUAGUGCAUAUGUACUCUUUACCCAGCAAAUUGUGUACACUUUACAAAGUGGAUAGAUUCCUCAGGACUCCCCCUAAUCCACUUUUGGCAACUAACAUAAACAAAACAAAAUAUUUGAGGAUACAGUAAAGGAGC
Non-coding RNA from Pelobates cultripes (western spadefoot toad), 659 nucleotides. The record is from the annotation of a GenBank genome assembly. NCBI's taxonomy places the organism in Eukaryota, Metazoa, Chordata, Amphibia, Anura, Pelobatidae.